Molecule: RNA transcript, 782 nt
Organism: Contarinia nasturtii (swede midge)
Lineage: Eukaryota; Metazoa; Arthropoda; Insecta; Diptera; Cecidomyiidae
Exons: 2
Source: RefSeq, a predicted model, not a curated record
UUCGAUUUCAUCUUAAGCGCAAAAAUUUUCUUUAAAAACAAAUUGUUAAAUAUGCAUUACAAAUUGAUAUCAUUGAUUUUAUUUUUGUUGUGUAUAUGCGAAACAAAGACGUCAAUUGACCAUACAAAUUAUAUUCGCUCAAAAUCAAAUCAUUUAGUUGUGAAUAACAAGAAUGACUUUACAAAUGAUCUCAUACCAAAAGUGUUUGAGAAAAGUGUUUCUGGGAAAGAACGCGUGAAGCGAGAAGUCGAAUUUAAUCUUGACGCAGAUCAUGAAGAAGGCAUGGGUACAGAUUUGGCCGCCACUUUAAAUUUCAAUAUAAUCAAAACUGAAAACACCCGUUUGGAUGUGUCUGCACGCUAUUCAAAACAUUUCAGUGACUAUGGUGCCAAUGGUAAAACAAAAAUCGGCGGUUCGCUGCAUUUUAUUAAAAAUUAGUAGCAAAAAAUAGGUGGUAAGCCAAGCGGCUUUAAGGUUGGCGUUGAAGUAGAAUUCCUAUAAAUCUAGAUGCAGAUAUUCCAAAAUUCUAAACAUUGGAAGGUGCCAUCGGAAAAUGAGCUGUACUUAGAAAUUGAAAUAUUCAGCGCAAUGACAUUUAAAACAACUUUACUGCCCAACUUUUAUAUUUAAUACUAAUAAUUGAUGUUCUUUCAUCACUUGAAAAUACUUCUCAUCGAUUUUUAACUCACCAAAAAAAUUCACUCAUAACAAAUAUCGUGAUAAUCUUUAACGUGAGCCAAUAAAAUAUGUAUCUAUUGUAUAAUUGGGUGAUAAUCACCGCA